GACGAACGCUGGCGGCGUGCUUAACACAUGCAAGUCGAACGGAAAGGCCCUGCUUUUGUGGGGUGCUCGAGUGGCGAACGGGUGAGUAACACGUGAGUAACCUGCCCUUGACUUUGGGAUAACUUCAGGAAACUGGGGCUAAUACCGGAUAGGAGCUCCUGCUGCAUGGUGGGGGUUGGAAAGUUUCGGCGGUUGGGGAUGGACUCGCGGCUUAUCAGCUUGUUGGUGGGGUAGUGGCUUACCAAGGCUUUGACGGGUAGCCGGCCUGAGAGGGUGACCGGCCACAUUGGUACUGAGAUACGGCCCAGACUCCUACGGGAGGCAGCAGUCGGGAAUAUUGCACAAUGGGCGGACGCCUGAUGCAGCAACGCCGCGUGCGUGAUGACGUCCUUCGGGUUGUAAACCGCUUUCGCCUGUGACGAAGCGUGAGUGACGGUAAUGGGUAAAGAAGCACCGGCUAACUACGUG
RNAcentral lists this ribosomal RNA (468 nucleotides) under uncultured bacterium. Its description in RNAcentral is "partial 16S ribosomal RNA". It matches the Rfam family "Bacterial small subunit ribosomal RNA", at positions 28 to 507 of the family's 1533-position model. The record is from RNAcentral.